UACGGAGGAUCCAAGCGUUAUCCGGAUUCACUGGGUUUAAAGGGUGCGUAGGUGGAAUGACAAGUCAGUGGUGAAAACCUGCAGCUUAACUGUAGAACUGCCAUUGAUACUGUUAUUCUUGAGUACAUUUGAUGUGAGUGAAUGUGUCGUGUAGCGGUGAAAUGCUUAGAUAUGACACAGAACACCAAUUGCGAAGGCAGCUCACAAAACUGUAACUGACACUGAGGCACGAAAGCGUGGGGAUCAAACAGGG
Molecule: ribosomal RNA, 253 nt
Filed under: uncultured bacterium
Lineage: Bacteria
Description: partial 16S ribosomal RNA
Rfam family: Bacterial small subunit ribosomal RNA
Source: RNAcentral